AGUCACUUUUUUCAAUGCUUUGUAACUUUGAACGAUCACUAAAUGAACUGUUGUAAGUUGAGGACUAUUUGUAAUUGUAUGAGUGUACCUGGAUACACUUAAGGUCAAAACUUAAUUUUGUCUGGCUUUUUAUGUUUAAGUCACCAUGAAUUCUUUUUAUCAUGCAUGUAUGUUAAAAAAUAAAUUUCUUCUAUUAUAUUUUUAUCCUACCUUUGCUAUAAAUAACUGAAGGUGUAGAAAAUGCCUAAUAUUCCUCUUAUUUUCCCCACAAUCCUGUGAGUGGCUUUGGCUUAGAGAGAGAGAGUGGGCCAGAGUCCCCAGCCAUCUUUCAUCUUUCAAUCUCCUGGUUUCUGGGUCAACAUCUUCACCACCACACCAAACUGGAACUCUUCAAACAUCUUGAUAAGAAUGAUUGAUUUUAUUUUUAUUUGUAACAUGCUCCAAAUUGUGGAAUUCGUACAUUUUCACAUUUCCGUUUCCAUGUGAAGGUUUCUCUAAUGUAUCAGCACCUAAAUAAGAAGUAACAGAUUUUCUGGUCUGCCUGUUACAUUAGGUACAAUAUCAACUAUCAGCUAUUUUAAUUUUAUGAAAACCAAAAGAUGACUGUAAUAAUUGGUGAAUCAGCAGAUGGCACUCUUUCCUCUUAGUCCUGAUCUGAGGCACUACAUGUCAGCAAACGAUGUUCUCUGAGUGGCUGAAAGGACAAAGAUGAAAGCUGAAGAAUGCAGACUAUAACAUUCAAGUGGCACUAUUUGGAAUGUAUAAAUCAACACUUAUCUUUCACGAAUGCAUAGCUAAUACCAAUAGACAAGGCCAUUUAUUGCUUUUUUCCUUGAGAAAGGAACUGAAAUCUUCAAGGUCCUAGUCUGUUAUAAGAGUCCUUCACUGUAGCAGCUCUGAAGUGGCAUACAACAUAUUGUAAGAAAAAUACCAAAGAUAACGGUUGAUAGGGGAAGGACUUUUGUGUUCUAUUCUUGUUCAGUCACGUAGUGUUCUCAAGUAGUACAAGGAUGACAAUGGGGGAAAAAACUAUUUUACCGAUCUUGCUGGGUGAAAAGUUAGUGGUGCAGAAGUUCCUUGGUAGAAUAUAACUAUAUAAUUUUUCCCUUCUGAAACAGAACAUAUCACAUAAUUUCCCUGCUAGUAGGAAAAUCAGAUGAAAAUUCUCGUUUACAACUGCCUUUGUCCAAGCAUUUAAGAGAACUGCAUCUGGGAUAGUCAUGAAAACCUCAAUACAGAUUGCAAGAUGAAAGAGUUAUGCUCAUUUUGCAACAUGUCCAUUCCUGGUUAUAGAAAUGUUCUGUUCAUAGCCACAGUUUUGUAGUGCAGUUGUCUAACUAGCAUCUUCUGCUUUUCUCCCCCCAAACAGGAAAAUAGUAAAUUUAGAAUCAGGAGAUAACAAUGCUUUAAAAAUAUGACACCCACUUCCCCAGCAGCAUUAUAUGUACCUGUAUAGGGAGAAGUGGCUCUUCCCUCCAGUGAUAACAUACAAGUAGUGCUUGGUUAACAACCACUUGACAGUUACGACACCAUUACCGAAUGAUACUUUUGUCCACUCCCCAAAGUUCCAGCCAUCCCAGUACCCUAUGAUGAUUUGAGUAUGAUCUGGGUGCUUGGCAACCAGCUCCCACAUAAAGCAUGGGAGCUGGUUGCAGCAUCCCAGUGUCAGAUUACAAUGAUUUGUAACCUUCCCUGCUUGCUUCCCACAAGCAAAGUCAAUGGGGAAACUGGCAGAGAAAAUUUUAAAUUUCUUGGGUAAGUAUCCCCAGCCCAUGUAACCUCCCUGAGCCUUGCUGCACUUGUUCUGCUGAAACGUUUUCGGUAGGUGCCCAGGCAAUCAAUAAAGGAAUUGGUGGUACAAAUAUUACUUUUCUCAUGGUAGUUGUAGCACCCUAUACAAAUAUAUUGGGGACAUUUGUGGACUUUGUAAAAAGAAAGUUUGUCCUGACCUUGGUCUUCUAUGUAACUUGGUAGAACCGCACUGUCCAUCUUCUAAGAACGUACAUUUCUUUCGUCUUUUUUAUGUGUAACUCUCUGCCAAUAAGUUAAAGCAAGAACUAAAACACUGGGAGCAGAGAAGCAUUGUAUCCAUUUUUUCUCCGGGCCUCUUAUCAUAGCAUGGCACAGUCACCUCAAACUGGGCGCAGUAAGAAUCUUUGAAACCUCCAUUCAGCUAAAUGAGACAGUCCAUUCAUUACUUACAAUGAAGCAUUUGUCUCUUGCAGUUGAACUAUCAAUGAAAGUUUAUGGGAGAGAUUUAGUAAAAACAUUAGCUAAAGGAAGGACAAUGUGAAAUGGAAAUCUGAAUCAGGGAUACAUCCAAAAUAUCCAUAGAUAUACAGAUUUAUAGACAUCAGAGAGCAAAACUCACAAAGGAGUUUUGUGUAAGAUGAGAAUUUAUGCAACAAGUUCUUUUGAAAAGCUUUCUGUAGGCUUAGCCUGAAUCUGCUUUAAGUUGGCAAAAGGAAAAAGCAUUAUUCUCUUCUAUUGUAAAACAGGGAUAAUUACAUGGAAGUAAUUAAUAUCAAUUAAAAUUAUUCCACAAAUACAUGAAUUUAAAUGAGAAUAUGUGCAUUAGGAAUUUCUCCUACCAGCUACUAUGUAUAUUAUGCAUAAUUUUAACAAUGUUGAUUUUUACACUCUAAAACUUUUUUCUGCUUACCUUUUGACAACUUUUAUUUUUUUAAAUCAAUGUAUACCUGUAUUAUUGUUGGUAUAAUUUAAUAAUGUUUACUACAUCAUGGUUCCCAUCCUGAUAAUAUUCCAAAAGUCUUUCAAAAUCUGGCUCAUCUACUGUAGUCCUGGGGAGGUUUAAGGUGGUUAUACUUCUUUUCUUGCUCUACUCUAUAUGCUUUCCUCCCUUCUAGACAUGCAUACUGUGUUUUUUGACUUCAUUAUUUUUCCCUUUUUUAAAGUUUGCCCAGAGUUGUCUGGAAUUGGACAGCCUCUAAGUCAUAUAAGUUAAGUACAUACAUAAAGCCAUUUGUAGAUUUGGCUAAAUCAAUGAGUCCCAAAGGUGCUUUUUCAGGAGGCAACUGGACUUUCUUGGGUUUUGUUUUUGUUUUUUUGUUUUUUUUAAAAGACAGUUUGCUUUUCAUGCAAGAAGUUUCUUCAGCUCUGACUGGGUGGUGUGGAAUGGGGGAUUCCAUGCCCCACCAUCCAGUCAGAGUGGAAGGAGCUUCUUAGAUGAGAAGUGAAAUGUCUUCAGGCGCCUCAUGAAAAAGCACCUUUGGGGCAACCAUGACCUGGAUAACUGAGAAUCUCCAUAGACUAAAUUAGUGAGGUGGUUAUUAUGGAGAGUUUACAGUCCGGAUCAGAUAGUGAAAGAAACAGAUAAGAAAAGAAUGUAGAGAGAUUUUUAGAAGUUCAAUUUGUGCUGAAAGUGUGGUAGAAAAGAUGGGAAUUAAAGGUAAGCCAGAAAUCUCAAAAGAACGUAGUUUUUCAUAAAAUAUCAUGAUCUAGCAAAUUAUUUUAACUUCUUAGCCUUGGAGAAAGCUGUAGAGCACUGUAAAGCGGUAUAUAAGUCUAAGUGCUAUUGCUAUUUAUUAUUCUUUCUCCUUGGCUGCUUCUAUUUUUGGAAUCAUGUCAAGGUGGAUUGCUUGGCUGACUGAAAGCAACACAGGAUAUUAUGCUGAUGGAUCAGAGACUGCAAGUAAUCCAUAGGAAGAUAUGUGGAGAAAAUCCCCUUUUGGAUGAUUAACCUUAAUGUUGAAGACUUGGAACCAUUCAAAGAUGUUGUGAUGUUGAUGAAUAAGGACAGAGUUCAAUGAUAGGAAGGCUUGGAGGCAAAAUAAGUGGAUUGGCAUUGGAUAGUAUCGUUUGAGAUGGUUGAGAGUGUUCAGUAUGAGUACAGCAAGCAGAUGAAAGUAUGAGAUCCACAGAAAGAAAAAUAAAAUGGAUGCCAUUAGAACAAGGGUAGUGAGAAUUAUAGGAUUUGAAUAGCUCACCCAAGAAAGUUGUGGAGAGAGGGGAAGAUGUUGGGAACACAGAGGAGACCCUUGACAAACAAUAGAGAAAAUGAACAUUUAUGAAUGAGUUAACUGUUUUGGAAAUACUAAGUCAUGGCAGAAUUCCAAAAUGGGAGAGGAUGAUCAAUUAUAAAUAAGGGAUCACUCAAGAAUAGAAAUACUUGAAUUUGGUGCAAAAUGCUAUUUAUUUAUCAUAUAGGUGACCCAACUCAGCACAGACUAGGUGGCAUAAUGCCUAAAAACAAACAAAUAACAUCAUGGAGCAGAACAUAGGUAGAACAAAUAUAACCAAUGCAAACUACACACUGAUAGGCACAGCAUGAAUUUAUCCUAAAGCUUGGAAAAUAUACAUUUGUUUUAAAAUGUCCAGAGUUCAGGUGGUCCAAUUUCUGGAGGGGAAAUGUUAUUCCAAAGGGCAGGUGCCAUGACAAAAUUCUUUGCCAGGGCAAUUUCAGUGGACUAUUGGAAAGCUGAAACCUGAUUGUCAGAUGCCCCUGAAAAUAAGAGCAAAGAAAUAAGCUUAUUCACUUGCACAUGGCAUUGACUCUACUACCCAGUCCACCAAAGCAAUUUUGAGGGUUAUCUACCCAUCAUCUUCAUUUCUGCUGAAUUUGAAAAACUGAGAAAAGAAUGAGCCAAUCAGCAUUUCCACUCAAGUUGACAAAUGGGAGUGUACAAAAAAAGAUCAUUAAAUCAUUCCCUUGUUCACACUGCUGCUAAUCCUGGAGAAAAAGUCCCUUCACCUCCACCCAAAACAAACAGGAAAUAAUAAUGUUAAUGCUUGGUUCCUAUCCACAUUUUCAGUUUAUGGUUGUGUGUGCUUGAUUGUUUGCAAAUAAGGAUCUCAGCAUCUGCACAGUAAUAGGAUGAAACUGCCAGACUACCCACCCAAAUCUCUUUAAAAAUUCACCAAGAGCUGUACAGUUGACAUGAUAUUGUGUCAUUGAUUUUAUAAUCAAUAAUCAACUGGCUACAGCAGAGGCUAAAAGGGGAAAAGUUCUUCACAAAAUAUAUUUUUAGGAUGUAGGAACUGGUCAGAUUGUCAGGUGGCUAUGAUUUACCUUAACCAGACUUCUCUACCCACACUCAAUCCAUAUAUAUAUGUACACUAUCCCAAAAUGGAACUUAGAAACGCAGAAUUUGGUUGAAUGCCCAACAAAGCUUAUGUGGGGUUGCCAAGGUCCAAAGUGGUUUUUGAAUUUGUAUAGAAUCUUCCAGUGGAAAUGCCUUUUGUUAAAAUAUAAGAUUAGAUCAAGGGAAGGAUUUCUUUGUGUGGAGAUGAUCUUCAUAGAAUGAAAUGAAUUGUAUGCAACUAUAACACAUACUCAAUUCACAAGAGCUCACAUUGUUUAACACCUCUCUUGAUGUUUCAGAUAUAGGUAAGUAGGACAAAAAUUAAGUUCUGAUCCAGGUAUUUUACUAUUUUAAUCAUGCAUCCUAUAUUUUACUAAAGUUCAUGGGUACCAGUGAAGAGGCAAUGAAUGCUCCUAUCACUACACUAGCAAAUAUGUUAAUAGCUUUACAGACACUUCCUUUGCAAGUCACUGUGGAUAAAAUAAUGGGUAAUCAUUUUGCCACUCCCAGAUAAUUGCUUACUGCAUCUUCAGUAACAUCAGAAUUUUCUUCUGAAUUGUGUUUUUAAUCUAGGUUAUGAUUCUUUAAUAGCUCAACUCUGUUUUUGAGAUAGACAGAUAUUGACUGUCUUCUUUACUGAUUUCACCUGAAAUAUGAUUUUGGGUUCUUUGGUGUUGAGCUUAUUCUUAGCUAAGCUUAUGCAGGAUGUGGAACUGUUAGCCUUUACCAAACAGGUGUCUUCCAUGAAUAUUGAACUACAGUUUUUUUUAUAAUUCCUAAUCGGCAGAAGAGUGGGAAAUUAGCUGUUCCCCAUUCUACAAUUCAGAAUUUCUCUCCAUGUGUUGACACAAUGGAAGUAGCUAAAUUGGCCAAGUCUACAGUAUUAACGUGCAGUGUAUUUGGAGCCAAGUUCUAGAAUGGUGCCACAGUUCUUGGUUACUAUGGAGAUUAAUCUGUGAAAAGACAUGAAUAC
This is a long non-coding RNA of Thamnophis sirtalis, 6015 nucleotides long. RefSeq lists it as uncharacterized. The record is from RefSeq and is a predicted model, not a curated record. NCBI's taxonomy places the organism in Eukaryota, Metazoa, Chordata, Lepidosauria, Squamata, Natricidae.